CUUCCCGCACCAGCACCAAACCGACGCUCAGAUUUUAGCCGACCUUCGGGUUUGAAGUCGCAGUCUCAGCUUUUGCUUUUGGUUCCAAUCGGUCUCCCCGUCUUGUACUGCCGUUCCGCUCGAUUCCUUCCUGAGAAUUAUCAGCUGCAAGGGAAUUUUGGAAGUGGAAGGGUGGGAUGGUGAAUUGGGAGUUGAAGCACUGCUGCAAGCACGACCAAGUCGUCUUCAUUGUGACCAUUGGCGUCUCUAUUGUUGUAAUCCUCUCUCUUUGGAGGACAGUGCUGCUAACUCCUUUCAAGCUUAUCACAGUGUUCCUUCAUGAAACGAGCCAUGCUCUUGCUUGUAAGCUAACUUGUGGUGAUGUGGAGGGUAUUCAAGUUCAUGCAGAUGAGGGUGGUGCGACACAUACACGCGGUGGAGUGUACUGCGUGAUUUUGCCUGCUGGAUAUCUUGGCUCAUCAUUGUGGGGACUAGUUUUUAUACUGGCAUCAACUAAACUUCUCACCGCAAGGAUUGCUGCUGGUUGUCUCAUUCUUGCUUUAUUUGUUGUUCUAUUCAUUGCAAAAAAUUGGUUACUUCGAGGACUUUGUAUUGGUUUCAUCAUUUUUGUUGCCAUUAUAUGGGUAUUACAAGAACUUACUCAUGUCCGCAUCCUUCGAUAUGCCAUUUUAUUCAUAGGUGUAAUGAAUAGCUUGUUUUCAGUCUAUGAUAUCUAUGAUGAUUUGAUUUCUCGGAGAGUCAACUCGAGUGAUGCUGAGAAGUUUGCCGAAAUUUGCCCUUGCCCAUGCAAUGGAGUUGGAUGGGGUGUCAUCUGGGGCAUAAUUUCUUUCACAUUUCUAUGUGGAUCUAUGUAUCUUGGACUCGUGAUUCUCUCCUAAAGGUCCACAUAGACCAAAAGGAAAAAUUAACGUCUACUUACAACCAUUGAUUGAAGAGUUUCAAAUGUUAUGGGAGACGGGUGUGCUUAUUUAUGCCAUCAAUACGAAACAAAAUAUUCAACGGAGAGCGACUCUUGUGUGCAAAUUUAAGGAUUUCCCGGCCUACGCGAUGCUAGUUGGUCGGAGCACUACAUGAGGCUGGCCAAUGAGUUAAGUCGUGCUCCCUCCAUUGCGGAGUUGCAUGUUUGAACUCAUCGACGACCUGGGGAGUGGGUCUCAGAGCAUUCACGACAGUUGUUGAGAUUGUACAAUCCGAGGGGAGGAAGGGGUGGGUUUAUGGCCUUAGAGCGAAGGGUAGCCUUCGAGGCUGAGCUCUCCCAUGGUCUCAUUCUUAGUUCCCCAAAAUCCUCAUAGUCAGACCAUGAGACUCUUGCCAGGCAGGUGACCGCAGUGAACGACAAAGAGAUUUGCCAGUUGCACGAGUAGAUGCUAGAAGACUAACAUAAAAUCAAUGCUCUAUAACAUACAUGAUGGAGACCUUUGGAGAUAGUCGGGGCAAGAGCUCGAUGACAUUCGUUCAGUAGGAGGAGGAUCAAGAGCAGGAUGUAGAUGAUAAGAAGUUUAUUUUUAUGUUGAACAUUAAAUGUGAAUUUUUUUGGAUUGACUUUAUUAUUAUUAU
Molecule: RNA transcript, 1557 nt
Organism: Phalaenopsis equestris
Lineage: Eukaryota; Viridiplantae; Streptophyta; Magnoliopsida; Asparagales; Orchidaceae
Exons: 13
Source: RefSeq, a predicted model, not a curated record